Molecule: long non-coding RNA, 326 nt
Organism: Amphimedon queenslandica
Lineage: Eukaryota; Metazoa; Porifera; Demospongiae; Haplosclerida; Niphatidae
Exons: 2
Source: RefSeq, a predicted model, not a curated record
GGGGCUGAACCACCCAAAAAAUGCAAAGCUAUUUUUAUUUUUGUGAUAGUUGACUUGACUGAUUUGGCUUGAACUGAGUGAGUCUGAGUGUCUAUAUAUUUAUCAGUAGUACUGGAGUAACUGAUGGAUCAGUGAUACAAUCAUUGAUACAAGUUAUGACUGAUGAGAAUUACCAGCUCACUGGACCCUGACUCUAAGAAGUUAGUCUAUAAUUAUUAUUUAUUUAUACUACUGUAUGGCUACAAAAUAUCACGUGGGAUUAAUUUUCAUUAUUUUUGUUGUGUGAAGUUUUAAUCCAGUGAAAUUCUUCAUAUGACCACACCUUA